CCAGCCUACUAGUAUCCAUGGGGAUCCAUAGGGGUCCUGCUACCCGUGAACCCUUAACACUUGUAAUCAGAUUCCAGGGCCGUCCCCAUACCCCGUUCGGUAUGGGCGCCAAAACUAUAAACCUCAAUAUCCCGUCCGGUAUAAGGGUGAAACAGGCCGUCCCCAUACCCCGUCUGGUAUGGGCGCCAAAACACAUAAGAUCUUCAUACCCCGUCCGGUAUGAG
RNAcentral lists this long non-coding RNA (224 nucleotides) under Carica papaya (papaya). RNAcentral describes it as "long non-coding RNA (CPAP_LNC005258)". Lineage: Eukaryota; Viridiplantae; Streptophyta; Magnoliopsida; Brassicales; Caricaceae. The record is from RNAcentral.